ACUUUCAGCAACGGAUCUCUUGGCUCUCGCAUCGAUGAAGAACGCAGCGAAAUGCGAUAAGUAAUGUGAAUUGCAGAAUUCAGUGAAUCAUCGAAUCUUUGAACGCACCUUGCGCUCCUUGGUAUUCCGAGGAGCAUGCCUGUUUGAGUGUCAUGAAAUUCUCAACCUAACAAGUUCUUAACCGGACUUGCUUAGGCUUGGACUGGAGGCUUGUCGGCUCUUAGCAGUCGGCUCUCUCAAAUGCAUUAGCUUUGGUUCCUUGCGGAUCGGCUCACACGGUGUGAUAAUUGUCUACGCCGCGACCGUUGAAGCGUUUAAUGGCCAGCUUCUAAAUCGUCUCUUGCGAGACAAGCAUUCAUCGAACUCUGACCUCAAUCAGGUAGGACUACCGCUGAACUUAAGCAUAUCAUAAGCGGAGGAAAAGAAACUAACAAGGAUUCCCCUAGUAACUGCGAGUGAAGCGGAAAGCUCAAAUUUAAAAUCUGGCGGUCUUUGGCCGUCCGAGUUGUAGUCUGAGAAGUGGCUUUCCCGCUGGACCGUGUAUAAGUCUCAUUGGAACAGAGCGUCAUAGAGGGUGAGAAUCCCGUCUUUGACACGGACUACCAGUGCUUUGUGAUGCGCUCUCAAAGAGUCGAGUUGUUGUUUGGAAUGCAGCUCAAAAUGGGUGGGUGAAUUCCAUCUAAAGCUAAAUAUUGGCGAGAGAACCGAUAGCGAAAAGUACCGUGAGGGAAAGAUGAAAAGCACUUUGGAAAGAGAGUUAAACAGUACGUGAAAUUGCUGAAAGGGAAACGCUUGAAGUCAGUCGCGUUUGCCGGAACUCAGCCUUCCUUUUGGUUGGUGCACUUUCCGGUAGACGGGCCAGCAUCGAUUUCGACCGUCGGAUAAGGCUGGGGAAAUGUGGCACACUUUCGGGGUGUGUAUAAGUCCUCAGUCGCAUACGUCGGUUGGGAUCGAGAUCGCAGCGCGCCGCAAGGCAGGGGAGUUCCGCCCACUUUCGCGCUUAGGAUGCUGGCAUAAAUGGCUUUAAACGACCCGUCUUGAAACACGGACCAAGGAGUCUAACAAACCUGCGAGUGUUUGGGUGGAAAACCCGAGCGCCGUAAUGAAAGUGAAAGUUGAGACCUCUGUCGUGGAGGCAUCGACGCCCGGACCUGAAGUUCUCUGACGGUUCGCGGUUAGAAGCAUGUUUGUUGGGACCCGAAAGAUGGUGAACUAUGCUGAAUAGGGUGAAGCCAGAGGAAACUCUGGUGGAGGCUCGUAGCGAUUCUGACGUGCAAAUCGAUCGUCAAAUUUGGGUAUAGGGGCGAAAGACUAAUCGAACCAUCUAGUAAGCUGGUUCCUGCCGAAGUUUCCCUCAGGAUAGCAAAACUCAUAUCAGAUUUAUGUGGUAAAGCGAAUGAUUAGAGGCCUUGGGGUUGAAACAACCUUAACCUAUUCUCGAAACUUUAAAUAUGUAAGAACGAGCCGUCUCUCUGAUUGGACGCUCGGCGAUUGAGAGUUUCUAGUGGGCCAUUUUUGGUAAGCAGAACUGGCGAUGCGGGAUGAACCGAACGCGAGGUUAAGGUGCCGGAAUACACGCUCAUCCAGACACCACAAAAGGUGUUAGUUCAUCUAGACAGCAGGACGGUGGCCAUGGAAGUCGGAAUCCGCUAAGGAUGUGUAACAACUCACCUGCCGAAUGAACUAGCCCUGAAAAUGGAUGGCGCUCAAGCGUGUUACCCAUACCUCGCCGUCAGCGUUGAAGUGACGCGCUGACGAGUAGGCAGGCGUGGAGGUCAGUGAAGAAGCCUAGCAGUGAUGCUGGGUGAAACGGCCUCUUAGUGCAGAUCUUGUGGUAGUAAGCAAAUAUUCAAAGUGAAGAACCUUGAAGACUGAAGUGGAGAAAGGUUCAUGGUAAACAGCAGUUGGACAUGGGUUAGUCGAUCCUAAGAGAUAGGGAAGCUCCGUUUCAAAGUGCCUGCUUGUUCAGGCCGCCUAUCGAAAGGGAAUCCGGUUAAGAUUCCGGAACCAGGAUGUGGAUUUUUAAACGGCAACGUAAAUGAACUUGGAGACGCUGGCGAGGGCCCCGGGAAGAUGUUAUCUUUUCUCCUUAACAGUCUGCCACCCUGAAAUCGGUUUGUCCGGAGCUAGGGUUCAAUGGCUGGUAGAGCUCGACACCUCUGUCCGGGUCCGGGCGUUCUCGACAGCCCUUGAAAAUCCAAGGGAAUGAAUAAUUUUCACGCCUGGUACACGGUUAGAGACCUGGGUAUCGACUUCAACUACCGCGCUGAACGACCUCCUCGUGGUGUAGCCUGGGACGGGUGGUGACUCCCCGUGCUAACGGUUCAGCAAAUCUAAUGGGUUCUGGGGGCUUUACUUGAGGGGUUAGCUUCUGGAGUUAUUAAAACGCGCCCGAUCGUAAUUAAAAAGGAAAGGGCGGUAAAUGUCGAGUUGAAACACCCGAAUGCCAGGCCGCCAUGCUUGACAGACGGGGGCAACAAGACGGGUAUAUGUAUUCGUUAUUUGAAGAGUAACCAGAUUACUUGAAAGCGGGGCGGUGAUUAAAAGACUGAAGGCCUCGCUUUAAAUUUGAAUUGACGGAUGUGUUUAACACGGUGGGUACAAUGAACUUGAAGGCGGACACCUGUCGAUUUAGCUGGAGUCCUGCGGACAAGGGAGUUGUAAGUAAAUCGGCCGGAAACGCGUGUUCACGGGGGUAUCUAAGACCCCAGUAAGCACGCAAGUACAGCUGAGAUACUAGUCCACUGUGGCCGAUAAAUUAUAAAACCGGGAUUAGACCAGUUGCUAGUACGCUUAGUAGGGCAGGACCUGCCGGCAGUCACUGAGUGGGGGCCGUCUCACGAUUGGCUUCCGCUAAGACUAAAGGAUGAUAGCUCUAUGGGACCUGCGCAUACAGACCGUGUUUGCCGAACUUGUAUGUGUCGCGGAAAGUAAAGGGUUCUAGGAAAGAGUGCUGUUUAAUGCGCUCAAGUACACCGGUUAUAAGGAUGGAGCCAGAUAAUUGACUGAAUAAGAGAGUUUCCGCUGUAAUCUCUGAAUGGCGGAUAGUUUCCUUGAACGGUUGUAAUGACAUUAGUACGGGAGACUGAAGCUGUUGUAGGGGAAGCUUAGGACUGGUAAAGCACGACAAGUCCAUGUCUGGUAAACAGAGUUGUAAGUGGCUAGUCAGAUUGUUUGGACGGCUUGAAGGGUUCUCUUUCGAGCUUUGAGUGCCAGUAACAAUUGCUAAUGAAAGGGACGCCCGUGUGUCUUAGCCGACAUGCGCAGGCCGGCCCUGGAGUUAGACAUGUGUACACCACGAGGCUUAGGCA
This is a ribosomal RNA of 3311 nucleotides. The stretch from base 367 to 2302 matches the Rfam family "Eukaryotic large subunit ribosomal RNA".